GUGAGGAAUUUUCCGCAAUGGGCGAAAGCCUGACGGAGCAAUGCCGCGUGAAGGAUGAAGGCCUAUGGGUUGUAAACUUCUUUUCUCAGAAAAGAAUUAUGACGGUAUCUGAGGAAUAAGCAUCGGCUAACUCUGUGCCAGCAGCCGCGGUAAGACAGAGGAUGCAAGCGUUAUCCGGAAUGAUUGGGCGUAAAGCUUCUGUAGGUUGUUUAAAAAGUAUUCUGUCAAAGAUUAGGGCUUAACCCUCGAUAGGCAGAAUAAACUUUUAAGAUAGAGGUUGGUAGAGGCAGAGGGAAUUCCCGGGGGAGCGGUGAAAUGCGUAGAUAUCGGGAGGAACACCAAAGGCGAAGGCACUCUGCUGGGCCAAUACUAACACUGAGAGACGAAAGCGAGGGGAGCAAAUGGGAUUAGAAACCCUGGUAGUCC
Molecule: ribosomal RNA, 426 nt
Filed under: uncultured bacterium
Lineage: Bacteria
Description: partial 16S ribosomal RNA
Rfam family: Bacterial small subunit ribosomal RNA
Source: RNAcentral